CUACGGGACGCUCCAGUGAGGAAUAUUGCACAAUGGGGGGAACCCUGAUGCAGCAACGCCGCGUGGAGGAUGACGCAUUUCGGUGUGUAAACUCCUUUUAUAUGUCAAGAAAAUGACGGUAGCAUAUGAAUAAGCACCGGCUAACUCCGUGCCAGCAGCCGCGGUAAUACGGAGGGUGCAAGCGUUACUCGGAAUCACUGGGCGUAAAGGACGCGUAGGCGGGUUGGAAAGUCAGGUGUGAAAUCCUACAGCUUAACUGUAGAACUGCACUUGAAACUGCUAUCUAGAGUAUGGGAGGGGGAGAUGGAAUUAGUGGUGUAGGGGUAAAAUCCGUAGAUAUCACUAGGAAUACCUAAAGCGAAGGCGAUCUCCUGGAACAUUACUGACGCUAAGGCGUGAAAGCGUGGGGAGCAAACAGGAUUAGAUACCCUUGUAGUC
This 438-nucleotide ribosomal RNA is filed under the name uncultured bacterium. RNAcentral describes it as "partial 16S ribosomal RNA". It matches the Rfam family "Bacterial small subunit ribosomal RNA", at positions 339 to 795 of the family's 1533-position model. The record is from RNAcentral.